RNAcentral lists this non-coding RNA (26 nucleotides) under Cricetulus griseus (Chinese hamster). Lineage: Eukaryota; Metazoa; Chordata; Mammalia; Rodentia; Cricetidae. The record is from RNAcentral.
UUCAGCUGCAUGGAACCCUAGAAGUG